RNAcentral lists this ribosomal RNA (59 nucleotides) under Geoglossum glabrum. Its description in RNAcentral is "partial 28S ribosomal RNA". It matches the Rfam family "Eukaryotic large subunit ribosomal RNA", at positions 1 to 57 of the family's 3401-position model. RNAcentral also lists the same sequence under 5 other names. The record is from RNAcentral. Lineage: Eukaryota; Fungi; Ascomycota; Geoglossomycetes; Geoglossales; Geoglossaceae.
UUGGACCUCGGAUCAGGUAGGGAUACCCGCUGAACUUAAGCAUAUCAAUAAGCGGAGGA